ACCUGCACACAACUGCUUGACU
Molecule: microRNA, 22 nt
Filed under: Ixodes scapularis (black-legged tick)
Lineage: Eukaryota; Metazoa; Arthropoda; Arachnida; Ixodida; Ixodidae
Also listed under: 1 other name
Description: Isc-Mir-252-P1_3p* (star (passenger))
Source: RNAcentral